GAAGGAGACGGUGUGACCUGCAACCCGAAAGCAAUCAAAGGACAAAUAUGUACACAGACUUCAGACUGUAUCCGAGACAACUUCAUCUGCUCCUCAGGCCUGUGCGACUGUGACGUUGGCUACAGCUACGACAACACUUCCGGCACCUGCGUCACCACAUGCAGCAACUACGGUACUGACUUCAGCCACCAAUCAACCACCUACUGCAUUUCUGGCUACAACAACGCCGUUAAAAGCGUCAACACCUACAGCGCUUGCAGAGACUACUGCUUGAAGGCCUCGUCCUUCAUCUGCAAGACCUUCGAGCUCUGGAGCGGCAAGUGUUACCUUUCAGCAGUUAGUAAAACUGAAGUUCCAGCCUCCAAAUGGUCAGCGUGGACGGGAUGCAAAUACUAUCAGCGUCACUGUGCUUAGUGACGUGGAAAGCACGCAAAUACUAUCAGCGUCAUUGUGCUUAGUGACGUGGAAAGGACGCAAAUACUUUCAGCGUCAUUGUGCUUAGUGACGUGGAAAGGACGCAAAUACCUUCAGGUCACUGUACUUAGUGACGUGGAUUUGAUGCAAAUACUUUCAGCGUCACUGUGCUUAGUGACGUGGAAAGGACGCAAAUA
Molecule: long non-coding RNA, 611 nt
Organism: Haliotis rubra (blacklip abalone)
Lineage: Eukaryota; Metazoa; Mollusca; Gastropoda; Lepetellida; Haliotidae
Exons: 3
Source: RefSeq, a predicted model, not a curated record